Molecule: ribosomal RNA, 446 nt
Filed under: uncultured bacterium
Lineage: Bacteria
Description: partial 16S ribosomal RNA
Rfam family: Bacterial small subunit ribosomal RNA
Source: RNAcentral
CCUACGGGGGACAGCAGUCGAGAAUCAUUCACAAUGGGGGAAACCCUGAUGGUGCGACGCCGCGUGGGGGAAUGAAGGUCUUCGGAUUGUAAACCCCUGUCAUGUGGGAGCAAAUUAAAAAGAUAGUACCACAAGAGGAAGAGACGGCUAACUCUGUGCCAGCAGCCGCGGUAAUACAGAGGUCGCAAGCGUUGUUCGGAAUCACUGGGCGUAAAGGGUGCGUAGGCAGUUUCGUAAGGCGGGUGUGAAAGGCGCGGGCUCAACCCGCGGACGGCAGAUGAAACUGUGAGACUAGAGUAAUGGAGGGGGAACCGGAAUUCGCGGUGUAGCAGUGAAAUGCGUAGAUAUCGAGAGGAACACUCGUGGCGAAGGCGGGUUCCUGGACAUUAACUGACGCUGAGGCACGAAGGCCAGGGGAGCGAAAGGGAUUAGAUACCCGGGUAGUC